AGUGAACGCUGGCGGUAGGCCUAACACAUGCAAGUCGAACGGCAGCACAGUAAGAGCUUGCUCUUACGGGUGGCGAGUGGCGGACGGGCGAGGAAUACAUCGGAAUCUACUUUUUCGUGGGGGAUAACGUAGGGAAACUUACGCUAAUACCGCAUACGACCUACGGGUGAAAGCAGGGGAUCUUCGGACCUUGCGCGAUUGAAUGAGCCGAUGUCGGAUUAGCUAGUUGGCGGGGUAAAGGCCCACCAAGGCGACGAUCCGUAGCUGGUCUGAGAGGAUGAUCAGCCACACUGGAACUGAGACACGGUCCAGACUCCUACGGGAGGCAGCAGUGGGGAAUAUUGGACAAUGGGCGCAAGCCUGAUCCAGCCAUGCCGCGUGAGUGGAGAAGGCCUUCGGGUUGUAAAGCCCUUUUGUUGGGAAAGAAAAGCAGCAGGUUAAUACCCCGCUGUUCUGACGGUACCCAAAGAAUAAGCACCGGCUAACUUCGUG
Molecule: ribosomal RNA, 492 nt
Filed under: uncultured bacterium
Lineage: Bacteria
Description: partial 16S ribosomal RNA
Rfam family: Bacterial small subunit ribosomal RNA
Source: RNAcentral